UAGGGACAGCUGGAGGUCCCAGUUUUAGGGAUAAUCUCUGGUUUUAAAAAAUCUGCAGAGGGUUUCUAGGACCUGCAAACGUUCAUUGGAUUGCAGGACCUGGAAUUUUGCUCUUUGGAGAGCUCACACCCCUCCAAGUGGCAGCCAGCCCCCCUUUGGUGUCCCUUGCCUGUCUCCUUGUCUCAGUGCUUCUGUCCAGAGCCCAUCCUGCAAGGUUGGGAAUGAUCCCUGUACCCCCAACACCACAUUUGCUGAGCCUCCAGCCCAGGAUGAGCUCAGUGCUCCACGCCAUUCCUCAGAGGAUGGAAUUCCCAAUCCUCCAGCCGCCGUACCUGCUCUCCAUGCCCACUUUUCCCUCAGCACAGGGGCCAGAGCACAGCACAGGAGCUGUGGCAGGCUGGAAUUAAGCAGCAGGAGCAAGAGGGAUCAGCGAGGAUUUCCGGGGAGAUUUGAAACACAAACAAGCAUGAGGAACUCUAAAAGUACACAAUUUUUACUCCCGCUCUGUGUGUGUCGUUUUAUUACAGGGUAAUUAAAGAACACUUUAAAAUUGUGAUUAAUGGGCUUUUUAGCUUCAGAGAAAUCACAUCUUUGAUGUCAGUUGCUUAAACAUUCAGUUUACUUUGCCAUUGAGAAAUGGAAAUAAAUAAAGAAUGCCGAGGAUGCUUUUUUCCCCU
Molecule: long non-coding RNA, 677 nt
Filed under: Cyanistes caeruleus (blue tit)
Lineage: Eukaryota; Metazoa; Chordata; Aves; Passeriformes; Paridae
Description: lncRNA (ENSCCEG00000006392.1)
Source: RNAcentral